CUUCGCAGUAAAUACCCGUCACUACUUGAGUGAGAUCGUUUAUACCAGGGCAAUAAAGUAGGGCUUACAUAUUGGGCCGAGUGAAGAGCCGUCUCUGUGUUUUAUUUUUAUUCCUAAAUACCGCGUAGAGCGAAAAAGUUUUACAAUCUUAGGAUGAAUAUGAGGUUCUUUAGACGAAUAUGACGAGCGGCUGUCGUAAAUCAACUGACAUUUAGUAUUUCCGCGGUAAAUCGUGCCGAUAAUCAUUGACUGUACGAAUAUUUGCCUGAAAUAUUUCACCGCAUGAAUUCGGUCUUAAUAUUUAUGCAUAAACUCAGCACGUUGAAUCGAUGAUUCGGAAGAGUAAGUUAAUUUCACGGGCGAUUUAUCUUUCUGUCAGCAAAUUAUCGCCGUUAUUGAACGCGACUUUUUUUUCUUUCGUCAAUAAAACUUACGACGUGAGUCAUCGGUAACGAUACCACUGAUUGGUAUUCUGGUUUCAGUUUAUUACAUUCGUCCUGGCGCAACGAGCCGAAUAAUUUUUUUAUUUACCAAAACGAUCGAUCAUAUGAUUUUUCGCGGUGUAGAUCCUCCACUUCGGAACUGAUUGAUCACGCUGCCGGGGGUCGGGGGUGAAAUAUUUUUGGAGUGGUGUAUUGGCGUGGAUAAAUUGCGAAGUUGAUCUUCAACGUGAACACAACAAGGCACGUAGUUUCACGGUUCUGGAAGAUAACUUUGGAUAAUCGAUAGCCCAGCCGUGCCAUGGCAACGAAUAUUGUUAGGAGAGUGAGGUCAGUUUCAGAAUGCUGCCCCUUUACUCUACCGCGUAACUCGGUCGUAAAUGACAAGAGGUUUCGGGCUUGUGACGAAAAGAAUAACGUAAAAUGGGAAACACCGAGAGCAAUGUUACAAGUGGCGUGAAGAAACAGACGGACACAUCGUCAAUCUUGCUGUACAAGCUGGUAGAUUUGAAAGGCGGAGGUCUACUCGUUGACAUGAUGAAGAGAGCUGCUCAGACGAAACAAUUUGCCGAGCUUGACCACGCGAUGAGGACCAAAGUUGAGCCCUUUUUGUACAACAAGGGCAGAGGGAAGUGGAUACCGAUCAGCAAACUGGUACUCUUGCGGAACAAGGAACGACCUAGACAUAAAAUGUUACCAGUACUGAGAGCCAUGGAAAAUCCGGGUGAAUACGACAUCGACAAAGACCUUGGCGACGAGGAGAUCGACGAGGACAAAAUAGAUAAAAGCAAGUACAGAGAAGUCUGUUGGUCUUUGAGCGAAAGAGGCGCGGUUGGAGAGACCAUUCUGCAUCUAUGCAUGCUAAAUGCAACGGCGAUUCACGCCGACUUGGCCAAACGUCUGUUGAGGUUCUAUCCAAAGCUGAUAAACGACAUUUACAUCAGCGAUGAGUACUAUGGUGAAAACGUACUGCACAUCGCAAUCGUGAACGAGGAUCCUGCGAUGGUGAAAUUCUUACUGGACAGUGGAGCAGACGUCCACGAGAGAUGUUUUGGAAAUUUCAUGUGCCCCGAGGAUCAGAAAGCGUCAAGAGCCGACAGCGUGGAGCAUGAAUGGGUUUGCGUUGCGCCGGAAACGAAUUACAAAGGUUACGUAUACUGGGGAGAGUAUCCGCUGAGUUUUGCCGCCUGCCUGGGCCAGGAAGAAUGUUAUCGUUUGAUGCUCGCACGUGGUGCUGAUCCCGACAAGCAGGACACAAACGGCAACACGGUUCUACACAUGUUGGUCAUUUAUCAAAAGCUUGCAACCUUUGAUAUGGCCUACGAAGUGGGAGCCUCCCUAGCGAUCAGAAACGUUCAAUUUUUGACACCGUUGACUCUGGCUGCAAAAUUGGCGCGCAUCGAGAUGUUUUUUCACAUUUUAAACAUCGAACGGGAGAUAUAUUGGCAAAUCGGCAGCAUUACUUGCGCAGCUUAUCCUUUAUCGUUGAUCGAUACCAUAGACAUUGCCACUGGUAGAAUUAGCAACAAUUCUGCGCUAAAUUUGGUCGUCUUUGGUGACAAAGAUGAACAUUUAGAGCUGAUGGACGGCGUGCUGGUGGAUCUUUUAAAUGCAAAGUGGAACACGUUUGUCAAAUCAAGGUUCUAUCGGCAGUACUUCUUGUUCUGUUUCUACUUUUUAAUUUCCUUGGUGAGCUUCACCCUCAGACCAGGACCAGUGACCAAAGCGACGCCCACGUCGAGUCCGCUGUCACUGUCAACGGUUGAGGAAAUUUCGAAGCUGGCUAAAAAUUUGACGACAUCUCUUGCCUCGAACAUAACAUCGCUAGUGAGCAUAUCACCGGGCGCAGUGAACUGGCUGAGUUCUCAAAUAGCAUUGAACAUCACCUCGUCACUGGAAGAGAUUCUCGUCGCAUUGCUGCUCAGAGGACUUUCAUCAACGGAAUCAACCGUGACCGAGAUCAGUUCCCGUUCGGAUGAAAAUUUCACAACUGUUGGCGAAAAUGUGACCACUGGAUUUGACUACCUGUCUACAGCCGUCUACAGCAUUUUGAGUGAGAACACGACUUUCUUCGGUUUAAACUGGACGAUCUCAGCUUCGGACGUUGAGAACGAAGGCAGCUGGUGGAACGUAUUGACGACCGAAUGCAGACUGAUGGACGUGACGGGAAGUACUGCGAAGGUCCGACUGGUUGCCGAAAUUCUGAUGGAGCUUGGGGCGAUUUUAUACAUAGCGGCAGCGCUACGAGAGGCGAGAUUUCUCGGGCUUAAUAUGUUUAUAGAAAACCUGAUGACCGCACCGUCCCGGGUCAUGUUCCUAUUCGCGUGCGCCAUUCUGCUCUCUUUUCCAAUUUUGAGGCUGACUUGUGCCGACGAGGUUGAAGACAUGCUGGCUGUUGUCGUGAUGCUGACCCUCGCACCGUACUUCUUGUUCUUCUGCAGAGGCUUCAAGACCGUCGGUCCCUUCGUCGUCAUGAUAUACAGAAUGAUCAUGGGUGACCUUUUGCGAUUCGUAUCGAUAUACAUGGUCUUCGUUAUGGGAUUUUCGCAAGCUUAUUAUAUAAUCUUUCUUUCCUUCAACAAAAACGGUACGGAACCUGACAAUCCUGUACCUUCUCCGAUGGAAAGUAUAAUGGCCAUGUUUUUGAUGAGCAUGACCAAUUUCGGAGAUUAUUACGGUGCUUUUGAGAACACUCACCAUAAAACAGAAGCUAAGUGUCUUUUCGUCGUGUACAUGGCCAUUGUAGCGAUCUUAUUGGUCAACAUGUUAAUCGCCAUGAUGGGCAACACUUACCAAAAAAUCGCUGAGACCCGGAAUGAGUGGCAAAGUGGGCCAGAAUAGUUUUGGUCGUUGAGAGAGGCGUGAGUCCCACCGAAAGACUGAAAAAAUUAAUGGACUAUUCCCAACCGAUGUCCGAUGGACGAAGAGCUCUGGUUCUCAGAUUGAACCAAUCCGAGGCAGACAAGGAAGAGAUGAAGGAAAUAUUGGAGAUGAAGAGGGUACACGACAGGUUGGUAAAGAAACGCAAGGAACAGAUCCACCAGAACGAAAUGAAAAAAUCUUCUACUCAAGCGAAUUCUGUGCUUGGAAAAGACUUGCACAUGAACGACAGUGUGGCGUGACAUAGUUCGUUAGUCAUGCACUGGCGACUGAAUUUGGCACAACGUAGGAAGUGUGACAAUAAAAUGACACGCACGUAAUACAACUUCGAAUUUUUCGAAUGUUUAACAGACAUUGCACACCUUGUUCAACGUUCAUGCGUUUACUCAAAUUACUUUCAAAAAAUAUACAUU
Molecule: unclassified non-coding RNA, 3733 nt
Filed under: Neodiprion pinetum (white pine sawfly)
Lineage: Eukaryota; Metazoa; Arthropoda; Insecta; Hymenoptera; Diprionidae
Description: transient receptor potential cation channel subfamily V member 5, transcript variant X1
Source: RNAcentral